GACAACGCUGGCGGCGUGCCUAACACAUGCAAGUCGAGCGGAGAUGUACUGAAGAUUUAUCGGAUGUACAUCUUAGCGGCGGACGGGUGAGUAACGCGUGGGCAACCUGCCUUUCACUGGGGGAUAACACGGGGAAACCUGUGCUAAUACCGCAUGACAUCACGUAGGGCAUCCUAUGUGAUCAAAGGAGAGAUCCGGUGGAAGAUGGGCCCGCGUCCAAUUAGCUGGUUGGUGAGGUAAAGGCUCACCAAGGCGACGAUUGGUAGCCGAACUGAGAGGUUGAUCGGCCACAUUGGGACUGAGACACGGCCCAGACUCCUACGGGAGGCAGCAGUGGGGAAUAUUGCGCAAUGGGGGGAACCCUGACGCAGCAACGCCGCGUGAAGGAAGAAGGUCUUCGGAUUGUAAACUUCUUUGAUGAGGGACGAAUAAAGUGACGGUACCUCAAAAACAAGCCACGGCUAACUACGUG
Molecule: ribosomal RNA, 472 nt
Filed under: uncultured bacterium
Lineage: Bacteria
Description: bacterial SSU rRNA
Rfam family: Bacterial small subunit ribosomal RNA
Source: RNAcentral